This 253-nucleotide ribosomal RNA is filed under the name uncultured bacterium. RNAcentral's name for it is "partial 16S ribosomal RNA". It matches the Rfam family "Bacterial small subunit ribosomal RNA", at positions 524 to 776 of the family's 1533-position model. The record is from RNAcentral.
UACGUAGGGUGCAAGCAUUAAUCGGAAUUAUUGGGCGUAAAGGGCGCGUAGGCGGCGCGGUAAGUCGGGUGUGAAAUCUCGGAGCUUAACUCCGAAACUGCAUUCGAUACUGCCGUGCUUGAGGACUGGAGAGGAGACUGGAAUUUACGGUGUAGCGGUGAAAUGCGUAGAUAUCGUAAGGAAGACCAGUGGCGAAGGCGGGUCUCUGGACAGUUCCUGACGCUGAGGCACGAAGGUCAGGGGAGCAAACGGG